Long non-coding RNA from Magnolia sinica, 1042 nucleotides. RefSeq lists it as uncharacterized. The record is from RefSeq and is a predicted model, not a curated record. The transcript is spliced from 2 exons. Lineage: Eukaryota; Viridiplantae; Streptophyta; Magnoliopsida; Magnoliales; Magnoliaceae.
UACAGAUCGAUGAUGUUCUUAUCUGAAAUAAACAGUUUGGAUGUGUUUGGAUGCUACCUAUUUUUCAUUUUUCAUUUGGGGUUAGCUAGGCGUUGCUCCAACACCUAUCACAAAUAUGAGGUGUUUUUGAAAAUCUGAACCGUUUAGAAGACUCGCAGUCACAAAAAAUAAAAAAUAAGAAAAAAUACAAAUGUGUCAAAUUUGAGGCCAGUUGGAUACUUGAAUGGGCCACAAUCUCAUAUUUUAUUCUAGCAGUCAGUAUGUCAGCCCUUGUGGGGAGAAAAAUGUGUUAAAACACCUUUUUAUUCAUUCAAUAGAAUUGUUGGGAGCAAACCAUGGUGCAAGAAUCACGCAAUCAGAUAAUUCUAACCCUUUAAAUGGGGCCAAUUUUUUACAACCAUUUAAUGAGUCAUAGCUCACAUGGUCAGAAUAAUCAAAACCAAAGUACUACUUUGGAAUCAUAAACAAUACAAAGUGGGAUCUAUCUACUAGAUGUUUCAAAAUGAUUGGACCUAAUUUUGUUUCUCUGCUCAAUCUUGAUUUUCCGUUUUCAUUGUUAUUGAUUAGAUGCUUAGGAUCACCCAAUUGACAUGAUUUCUGCACCGUGGCUUUCUCCAAGUUGUAUGAAUGAAUGAACGGUUCAGAUUGAUGAUAGGUCACCCUAUGUGUCAUUUAAAACGUUGGGGGACAUUGUAUGGAAAAUGAUGAAGUGCAAUUGUGGUGCAAACAACCUUUAUCGGCUCCGUCAUGAUGUAAAUGGCUGCUAGCUUGUUGAUGGGUAAUGGGAAACUAGCAAAUGUUUUAUUACCUUUAACCAGUGUUCGAAAUAUCGGUAUAGUUAAUCGUGUUAUGUAUCGCACCCUUGGGAUACGGAUACGUAUCGGUUAUCGCAUGGGAUAUAUCGGUUGUAUCACGUAACGUAUCGCUGUUAUUGGAAACAUGGGAAAACAUUGGAAAUUGGUCAAUUUUUUCAAUGAAAUUUCAGCAAUUGUUAAAAAAGACAUCAAUACACACUUACAAAUCAAAACAUUACAAAAAACAA